UGGACAGGGGCACCCUGAUCAGCCAUGCCGCGUGAGUGAAGAAGGCCCUAGGGUCGUAAAGCUCUUUCGCCUGUGAUGAUAAUGACAGUAGCAGGUAAAGAAACCCCGGCUAACUCCGUGCCAGCAGCCGCGGUAAUACGGAGGGGGUUAGCGUUGUUCGGAAUUACUGGGCGUAAAGCGCGCGUAGGCGGAUUGGAAAGUUGGGGGUGAAAUCCCGGGGCUCAACCCCGGAACUGCCUUCAAAACUCCCAGUCUAGAGUUCGAGAGAGGUGAGUGGAAUUCCGAGUGUAGAGGUGAAAUUCGUAGAUAUUCGGAAGAACACCAGUGGCGAAGGCGGCUCACUGGCUCGAUACUGACGCUGAGGUGCGAAAGUGUGGGGAGCAAACAGGAUUAGAUACCCUGGUAGUCCACACCGUAAACGAUGAAUGCCAGUCGUCGGAUAGUAUACUAUUCGGUGACACACCUAACGGAUUAAGCAUUCCGCCUGGGGAGUACGGUCGCAAGAUUAAAACUCAAAAAAAUUUGACGGGGGG
Molecule: ribosomal RNA, 533 nt
Filed under: uncultured bacterium
Lineage: Bacteria
Description: bacterial SSU rRNA
Rfam family: Bacterial small subunit ribosomal RNA
Source: RNAcentral